AACGCACGAGACCUGCGGACCUGCGGAGGGAUCAUUAGUGGACGCCCUCACGGGCUUAUAACUAUUCCAAACCUCUGUGAACCGUGCCCUUCGGGGCUAUUUUACAAACAUGGUGUAAUGAACGUCAUAUAUCAUAACAAAACAAAACUUUUAACAAUGGAUCUCU
Molecule: unclassified non-coding RNA, 166 nt
Filed under: soil metagenome
Description: partial contains 5.8S ribosomal RNA, internal transcribed spacer 2, and large subunit ribosomal RNA
Source: RNAcentral